Long non-coding RNA from Betta splendens (Siamese fighting fish), 1121 nucleotides. RefSeq lists it as uncharacterized. NCBI's taxonomy places the organism in Eukaryota, Metazoa, Chordata, Actinopteri, Anabantiformes, Osphronemidae. The transcript is spliced from 7 exons. The record is from RefSeq and is a predicted model, not a curated record.
UCAGGCGCGACCCCGGCCCACGGAACCUCCCCGUCAAGCGUCCUGCCGGGGUCUUGGCGCCGCGUUAGAAACCCAUUCUUUCGUAGCUCUCAUUGUGGCGUUCGUGUGCAGCCUUGUUCAUUGUGGCCAUUUGCUAAAUUUUCGUGCCCAGAGCGAGUCGCUGCGUGUGAAGAGCCAGUGGCAUCGAUGUUUCCACAGCGAGUCACUGAUCAGCGCGCUGCUGUUGGCAGGUUUAGUUGAGGUUAGGGUGGUCUGUCGAGGAGCUCCCGCCCCCUGCGACUUGUCCACCGGUCUGCGGGGGAGUUGAGCCUGGUUGUAAACCUCCACACGGUGCGGUUCUCAGAGUAAUGGCUGUCUACAAGAAGACGCUGCAGACCAUCGCAGUCAUUUGAUCAGAGCGGAGGGCAGCCAAAGGCCUCAGUAUCUUGAGGAUCACAACACAAAAAGGCACAGUUUGACUGUUCCCUAUGAGCCGCCCCAGCCGGGCUCAGAGAUCACCACAAUCCUGUUCAACUUCAUGUGCAACAGCUCCUGCAUGGGAGGCAUGAACCGCAGACCCAUCCUCACCACAUCCUGACCCUUGAGACUUCAGACGGACAACUUUUGGGCCGAAGAUGCUUCGAGGUGCGUGUCUGCGCGUGUCCCGGCAGGGAUCGUAAAACAGAGGAGGCAAAUAGUGCCAAACUUCAGACAGGGGCCAAACAAGUGAAGAAAAGAAAAAGUGCCCCAGCAACAGAUCCUGAUAUGUGCAAAAGGAAGUCUGGCUCAAGCACAGACGAGGAGGAAGUACUUAUGUUGCCAGUUAAAGGCCGUGAGCGCUAUAACAUGUUAAAAAAGAUAAAUGAUGCAUUAGAACUGGCUGAAAAAGAGGCUAAAAACAAAACCAGGGCUUCUAAGGAACUGCUGCCGUCCAGUGGAAAGCGCGUCUUGCAAAAAGCAGAACGAAGCGACAGCGACUAGUUGCAAUCUGCCUUCUUUUAACCGAACAUCUACGAUCAUGACUAUGAAUCAUUGUUUACCUCCCUUUGAUGUUUCUACAUUAAUUCCUGCCAUCAGUCUGAGGGCAUACGUUGAGCAGUAACGUAUUAACGAUUCAGUGGGGCUUUACUAUUUUUAACUAC